AACGCACAUUGCGCCUCUUGGUAUUCCUCGAGGCAUGCCUGUUCGAGCGUCGUUACGCCCCUCAAGCGCAAGCUUGGUGUUGGGGAUCGCCCCUGAGAUACGGCGGCGGCCCUUAAAUGCAUCGGCGGUGCUGGUGUCAGCCCGGAGCGCAGCAGACAUGCGGCUUCCAGGCGACCACGCGCCCGCCGGACAACGACCCGACCUUCAAACGUUGACCUCGGAUCAGGUAGGGAUACCCGCUGAACUUAA
This 249-nucleotide unclassified non-coding RNA is filed under the name uncultured Magnaporthales. RNAcentral describes it as "sequence contains 5.8S rRNA gene, ITS2, 28S rRNA gene". Lineage: Eukaryota; Fungi; Ascomycota; Sordariomycetes; Magnaporthales. The record is from RNAcentral.